GAUGAACGCUGGCUACAGGCUUAACACAUGCAAGUCGAGGGGAAACGACGGGGAAGCUUGCUUCCCCGGGCGUCGACCGGCGCACGGGUGAGUAACGCGUAUCCAACCUGCCUCUGACUGAGGGAUAACCCGUCGAAAGUCGGCCUAAUACCUCAUGGUAUCGUCUGCGGGCAUCCAACGACGAUUAAAGAUUUCAUCGGUCAGGGAUGGGGAUGCGUCUGAUUAGCUUGUUGGCGGGGUAACGGCCCACCAAGGCUACGAUCAGUAGGGGUUCUGAGAGGAAGGUCCCCCACAUUGGAACUGAGACACGGUCCAAACGCCUACGGGAGGCAGCAGUGAGGAAGAUUGGUCAAUGGGCGAGAGCCUGAACCAGCCAAGUAGCGUGCAGGAAGACGGCCCUAUGGGUUGUAAACUGCUUUUAUGCGGGGAUAAAGUGAGGGACGUGUCCCUCAUUGCAGGUACCGCAUGAAUAAGGACCGGCUAAUUCCGUG
RNAcentral lists this ribosomal RNA (491 nucleotides) under uncultured bacterium. RNAcentral's name for it is "partial 16S ribosomal RNA". It matches the Rfam family "Bacterial small subunit ribosomal RNA", at positions 28 to 507 of the family's 1533-position model. The record is from RNAcentral.